This 28-nucleotide small RNA is filed under the name Bombyx mori (domestic silkworm). RNAcentral describes it as "ovarian small RNA-15969". The record is from RNAcentral. Lineage: Eukaryota; Metazoa; Arthropoda; Insecta; Lepidoptera; Bombycidae.
GAGGUGUGAAUGUCGAGUUCAGGACCAU